AUCCUGGCUCAGGAUGAACGCUAGCUACAGGCUUAACACAUGCAAGUCGAGGGGCAGCACAGUGUAGCAAUACACGGGUGGCGACCGGCGCACGGGUGCGUAACGCGUAUCCAACCUUCCCGAUACUCUUGGAUAGCCUUCCGAAAGGGAGAUUAAUACAAGAUGGUGUUUCAAUUCCGCAUGUUAUUGAAACUAAAGAUUUAUCGGUAUCGGAUGGGGAUGCGUGACAUUAGAUAGUAGGCGGGGUAACGGCCCACCUAGUCUACGAUGUCUAGGGGUUCUGAGAGGAAGGUCCCCCACACUGGAACUGAGACACGGUCCAGACUCCUACGGGAGGCAGCAGUGAGGAAUAUUGGUCAAUGGUCUGACGACUGAACCAGCCAUGCCGCGUGAAGGUCACGGCCCUAUGGGUCUUAAACUUCUUUUGUAAGGGAGCAAUAAGUCUCACGUGUGGGAUGAUGAGAGUACCUUACGAAUAAGCAUCGGCUAACUCCGUG
This 497-nucleotide ribosomal RNA is filed under the name uncultured bacterium. Its description in RNAcentral is "bacterial SSU rRNA". It matches the Rfam family "Bacterial small subunit ribosomal RNA", at positions 16 to 507 of the family's 1533-position model. The record is from RNAcentral.